GCCAUGAGAAGCAAGAAGGCCAUGAACGAU
This 30-nucleotide non-coding RNA is filed under the name Homo sapiens (human). Lineage: Eukaryota; Metazoa; Chordata; Mammalia; Primates; Hominidae. The record is from RNAcentral.